CCUACGGGGGGCUGCAGUGGGGAAUAUUGGACAAUGGGGGGAACCCUGAUCCAGCCAUGCCGCGUGUGUGAAGAAGGCCCUCGGGUUGUAAAGCACUUUCAGUGAGGAAGAACGCCUGGUGGUUAAUACCCAUCAGGAAAGACAUCACUCACAGAAGAAGCACCGGCUAACUCCGUGCCAGCAGCCGCGGUAAUACGGAGGGUGCGAGCGUUAAUCGGAAUUACUGGGCGUAAAGCGCGCGUAGGUGGCUUGAUAAGCCGGUUGUGAAAGCCCCGGGCUCAACCUGGGAACGGCAUCCGGAACUGUCAAGCUAGAGUGCAGGAGAGGAAGGUAGAAUUCCCGGUGUAGCGGUGAAAUGCGUAGAGAUCGGGAGGAAUACCGGUGGCGAAGGCGGCCCUCUGGACUGACACUGACACUGAGGUGCGAAAGCGUGGGUAGCAAACAGGAUUAGAUAUCCUAGUAGUC
Molecule: ribosomal RNA, 465 nt
Filed under: Vreelandella stevensii
Lineage: Bacteria; Pseudomonadati; Pseudomonadota; Gammaproteobacteria; Oceanospirillales; Halomonadaceae
Description: partial 16S ribosomal RNA
Rfam family: Bacterial small subunit ribosomal RNA
Source: RNAcentral